CUUGCAAGGUUCACAGCUUAAAGGAAGUGGUAAGAGCCAUCUGGUGUUAUUUUUGCCUUGUUGUUUCAUCAAGAACUAUGCCUGUUACCAAAUGCCCAGAGCCGAGGAGUUAGCCACUGUCGAGAGAGAGCGGCAACCGUGAGUGUGGUUCCGAAUCCUCAAGGACUCGCUGGCGAUGGCUGACUCAGCAGAGCGCCGGAGAGCGCCGGGGGCUGUCCCAGGAUGCAGAUUUCCCCUUGCCUGUGCUGACGGGGCAUAAGAUGUCUUCACACUGGACUCUGUCUUCAACCUCUGGAAGUACUUCCCACCCGGGUCCUGUAGCAGCCCUCCUGCUCCUGGUGCAGCUAGAGCCGGAAUUCCAGGGCCAUAAGACUGCGCUUCGUGGAAGGAAAAGCUGACGCUGCCGUUUUUCUUUGUAUGGUGGCAUUUCGGCUGCUUGGGAAAGCAGACUUCUCAAGGCUGGCUCAGGCUCGGUUGCCACAAAUCCCUUCCUUCACUGGGGAGGCUUGUGUGCUGGAGCAACUCCGGGGAAAAGACACACUCAAUGUUUGCUGUGUUUUCUCUUUUGGUGAAAGACGUGGGAAUUUACAAGAGAGAAGCUACUUAUUAGAGCGGAAAGGGCCGAGUGAGCCCAAGGACAGCUGGAGAGCUCCCGGGGACGGGAGAAGGGGGAGGGGAAAGACUAAAAUGACGCCUUAAAUAUGGAGGAGACAGGCGAGGGGAUUAGGGGUCAUCCACGGGGUAAAGGUUAACAUUCCUACGUGGAAGUUGAGAUUGUCCACCUCUCUGAGGUGGACGAGGAGGAGCAAACACGGCUGGGCAAGGAACAUUUGCACAAUACUCUCGUCUCCACAAGGAGACCAUCAGAAAUGUGGGAAGAAAAGUGGCGGCUGCGUAGAGUCCCCGUAUUCUGAUGAUCACUUGCCCACUGUUGUUUCCAUCUGUUUCCUGGUCCUCCCAUCUUUGCUGGAGGCCAUAGUAAACAAACUGACUGGCCUAAGCCAACUUAAAGGAUAAGAUCAUCAACCUGGGUAUCAGAAGUCUCCAGGGGCUAAAAUGAACGGCCAGAUCCUCAGCCCAGCGGGAGAACUCAGAAGUCUGCACAGUUGGACAAGAUGCAGAAAAGAAAGAUACCUUCCUUCUGGCUCAUAAAGGGCCACUAUUAGAAAUAUUUCUAUAUGUAAGGUUCACAGACAAUCCACAGGCUUCUGGUACUACAGUUCCCUAGGAGUCAUUUAUAAAACAUCUGUGCUUUGCCUACA
Molecule: long non-coding RNA, 1262 nt
Organism: Myodes glareolus (Bank vole)
Lineage: Eukaryota; Metazoa; Chordata; Mammalia; Rodentia; Cricetidae
Source: RefSeq, a predicted model, not a curated record